RNAcentral lists this ribosomal RNA (174 nucleotides) under Triticum aestivum (bread wheat). Its description in RNAcentral is "partial small subunit ribosomal RNA". Lineage: Eukaryota; Viridiplantae; Streptophyta; Magnoliopsida; Poales; Poaceae. The record is from RNAcentral.
CAGGUUUAUCACUCUAGUUUCACUGACGAUGACAGGAUCACAAAAGCCUGUGGGUGUCCUCUUCCACUAAAAACACAUAUCAAGGGCCUAGCCCCAGCCUCAGAUUCAGAUAAAGCAGAUAUAGUCGAUGAGGCGAUAACUUUCUUCCGAGCAAAUGUUUUCUUCAAAAACUAA